Molecule: ribosomal RNA, 414 nt
Filed under: uncultured bacterium
Lineage: Bacteria
Description: bacterial SSU rRNA
Rfam family: Bacterial small subunit ribosomal RNA
Source: RNAcentral
AACGAACGCUGGCGGCGCGCCUAAUACAUGCAAGUCGAGCGAGAAGACGUAGCAAUACGUUUGUAAAGCAGCGAACGGGUGAGGAAUACAUGGGUAACCUACCCUCGAGUGGGGAAUAACUAGCCGAAAGGUUAGCUAAUACCGCGUACGCUCCUUGGACUUCGGUUCAGGGAGGAAAGCGAUACCGUGGGUAUCGCGCUCUUGGAUGGGCUCAUGUCCUAUCAGCUUGUUGGGAGGUAACGGCUCACCAAGGCUUCGACGGGUAGCUGGUCUGAGAGGACAAUCAGCCACACUGGCACUGCGACACGGGCCAGACUCCUACGGGAGGCAGCAGUAAGGAAUAUUGCGCAAGUGGGCAAAGCCUGACGCAGCGACGCCGCGGUGGGGGAUGGAAGGUCGUUCGGUAGUUACGUU